UACGGGGGGGGCAAGCGUUGUUCGGAAUUACUGGGCGUAAAGCGUGCGCAGGCGGUUUUGUAAGUCAGAUGUGAAAUCCCCGGGCUUAACCUGGGAAUGGCAUUUGGGACUGCAAGGCUGGAGUGCGGCAGAGGAGACUGGAAUUCCUGGUGUAGCAGUGAAAUGCGUAGAUAUCAGGAGGAAUACCGAUGGCGAAGGCAGGUCUCUGGGCUGACACUGACGCUCAUGCACGAAAGCGUGGGGAGCAAACAGG
This 253-nucleotide ribosomal RNA is filed under the name uncultured bacterium. RNAcentral's name for it is "partial 16S ribosomal RNA". It matches the Rfam family "Bacterial small subunit ribosomal RNA", at positions 524 to 776 of the family's 1533-position model. The record is from RNAcentral.